RNAcentral lists this long non-coding RNA (2259 nucleotides) under Ovis aries (sheep). RNAcentral's name for it is "lncRNA (ENSOARG00000025469.1)". Lineage: Eukaryota; Metazoa; Chordata; Mammalia; Artiodactyla; Bovidae. The record is from RNAcentral.
UGCUGCCCCUCAGAAGUCACAUGUUACUGGUGCUCAAAGUUUAUAGGGACAAGCAAUCAAGAGGGCAGAACUAUUCAGGCUGGAAUAGAGCAACAGAAAGCAUGUGGCAGUUCCCAAGGCUCCUGGCCGGGUCACCACACUGCGGUUAGAGACAGAGCUGCCAGGGUCUGGGGCUGUAACAGCUCCAGGGUUAAUGAUCCAAGGCCAGGAACACAAGUCAGGAAGCGCUCCAAGAAGGGGGGACCUGAGGUGAGGCUUAGCUGGAUCCCUCCUCAGGGACCGUACCUCGCCAGGCUGAGAACUUCCCGAGGAAAGGGGCUGGAGCUUCGUUCACAUCUCACGUUGAGCAAACCAGGACGGUGCCUCCUAUACUUCCUUGUGUUUGUGCGCAGCCCAGCUCCCCUGGAACUUGUGGCAGCACAGAGGAUCCGGACUCGGUCAGGAAAAAUGGGAAGGUGUCAUGAAGGGAGCAGCAGGCAAGUGCUGGAGAGAAAAUCACAUUCUUCUCGACUAUGAAAAACCCACUUACCCUGAAAACACUCAUGAAAAAUGAAACACCCUGGCUUCUGACUGAACAGGUUUCUCUCCAUUUCUUCUCUAUCAAGAUAUUUGGCAAAAUUGAAAAAAAAAUUAAGUAUAUGAGUCUUCCUUUCCUAAAGAAAAUGAAAAGUUGGCAAAAUCUAUGACACUUGUCUUUGAAAAACUGAUGAUCAGUAAAAUCAAAAUCUUCAAAAAAAAAAAAAAUGGGAGGAAUGUUUUCUUUUGGAAAAAAGCAAAGCAAUUCAAUUCUGUGUCCAUGGUUUCUAGCAGUAAAUGUUCAGCAGUCUUAAAAUUCCGGAACAUGAUAAAAUGACAAACAGUUACUCCCUGUGACAUUAAAUCAAUGGUUCUAAUCAGGGGCAAGGAAAUGGCAACCCACCCCAGUGUUCUUGCCUGGAGAAUUCCAUGGACAGAGGAGUCUGGCGGGCUACAGUCCAUGGGGUCACAAAGAAUCAGACAUGAUUCGGCAACUAAACAAUCAGGGGGUAAUACUACCCCCAGGGAACACUUGGCAACCGCCGGAGAUGUUCUUGGUUGUCAUGCCCAGAGUGGGAGUUGCUAUAACAUCCAGUGAGUAAAGCCCAGGGGUUGUGCUGAACACGCAGACACCCCAGGAAAGACCCCACGGCGGAGAGUCAGCCCACCGCCAAAACGUCAGUAAGCAGAGCCCAGUCAGCUUGAGCCCGGUCUACCCUGUGAAGCAAGUCGGCCCACCGUGCAGCAUCUGCAGAAAAGGUUCAGUCUUUCUCAGAGCUCAGUCUUGUCUUUUUCAGAGCUAUCUAAAUUUCCUGCGGUCAGCCCAGAUGAAAAGCAGCUCAGACUGACUAAAAGCCUGAUAAAUAGGAAAUAACGUGGCGGCGGGGACAGGGCAGGGGGUAUUGUGGAGACUUGGGUAAGAAAGCAGCUUUUUGGAGGAAGAAAAAAAAAAAAAAAAAAACCCCCCUGCCUCUCCGCCCUGUGUUUGCUGCUCAUUAGCUUCCCCAGCGGCCUCUGCGCUCUUUACAAGAGAAACUUCCUCCGGGGGGCUGCGGGGCGGCGAGGGGCGCUCCAGGGAGGGGAGGGGGCGGGCGGUUUGCAAGUCUGAGGAAUACAAAUCCUCGACUAAAUUAAAACCAUGCUAUGAAGCCAUCACCUCACUGCCGAAUCUGUGGCCUCGGGUCAGGAUCGCUGCAGGAGGCCCCCGUCCUCAGUGUGUGCGCUUGUUAACAUUUUCUGUAAGGACAGCGGCCCCGGGCGAAGCCCGCUCCGAGCAGGACCCCCAAGCCCACAUCAAAAAUGACCACAGGCGGGACAGGCCCGGUGGGAGGGUCACCCCGCGCGGGGGUCCGGUCCCGCACACCCCGGGGGAGCGGCCCCGACCGAUGUAAAUGUGCGCUUUCAUUGAAAAUCACUUCGGGUUAGACAAAGCCCAUUCUUCCGCACUUGAAAAGCUUACCGGUUUCUGCAAUUCAUAUGUGUGAGAGAUGGAGAUUUUCCACGGACCCCAGAAGAGCCCGGUGGAGACAAUUCCUGGGCGGUUCACGCGCACAGCGCGGCCCGGGGGGAUGCAGGCGUCCCUCCAGCCCCGCUCCUGACCUCGGGGGACCACGCUUCCGCGCUGCGGGAGCGGAAGAGAAAGCCUGCCAUCCUUAGCUGAGGCGAGUUCAAAGAGGUUUUAAGCCGAUGCUAGGUAAAAGAGAAUCUUCUGUUUCUUCCGUAUUUUACUGACUUUCUAAAAUU